UAUUUGGCCAAAAGGAAGGGUACUAGGA
This 28-nucleotide non-coding RNA is filed under the name Mus musculus (house mouse). Lineage: Eukaryota; Metazoa; Chordata; Mammalia; Rodentia; Muridae. The record is from RNAcentral.